RNAcentral lists this long non-coding RNA (2192 nucleotides) under Capra hircus (goat). Its description in RNAcentral is "lncRNA (ENSCHIG00000000935.1)". Lineage: Eukaryota; Metazoa; Chordata; Mammalia; Artiodactyla; Bovidae. The record is from RNAcentral.
GGGGUUUUUUGCAUCUUAAUGUCCUUUUGUCUUAUUUUUAUGUCUUCAUGUUGUUUACUUCAUCUUACUUUCUGGGAGAGUUCUUUUUAUUUCUAUAAUCUCUAUUGAAUAUCUAUUUCCACAAUCAUAUUUUAAUUUCCAAGAUCUCUUUCUUGUUUUAUUCCUUUUAAAAUAGCAUCCUAUCCUUGCUUUAAAGGCAUGGUUUCUUCUCACAUUUUUCUGAGGAUAUUAUUUACAGAUUUUUCCCCCCAAGUUCUCUUCUGUUCCCUGAAUUACUUUUGUUUCCUCUGGAACCAGUUUCUCUAUUUGUUUGGCUCUUUUGUUCAUGUUGUAAUUUGAGGCAACUGUCUGGCAAUCCUUGGAUUUCUGUUCUUGUUUAAGAAAGAGACUUAAGAAAUUGUGUGAAUGGGAGAGGCUUGUCAACCAGCAAGUGAGUGAGCAGGAAACUAGCUGUCGACUGGGCAGUCCCUGAAUGCUAUAUCUAGAGGUGCUCAACUUCUUUAGAUGAGAACUUCUCACUUAAACUUUUUAAACUUUUUUUCCCCUAGGGAACAGAUUGCAGCUUCCAAGAGCUGUGUAUAUAGAGAGGGGAGAGAUGGUAGGACUCACCUCCCUCCUCACACGGCUUGAGGAGCCGUGUCUCCAACCUGGGUUCAAGUCCUGGUCCCCUUCCUGGGCAACCUUGGUGAGUGACUGCAACAUCACAGGGCCCAGGCUGCUUCCUACUGCAGGUCCGUCUAGGACAUUACCUUCAACCUCAGCAAGGUCAGAUGACAUGGGUAUCCUGUCCUUUUCAUCGCAGCCAGGUUGGGCUGGAAAAAGACCCGGAUUCCCCCCAGGGCUGAACCGGCUGGUCCUCAAACAAAAUGGCCGCCGCGCUUUCCCUUCUUCGGCCGGGAGGGCAUCUCUGCCAGGAGGUGGCACCACGAGCUCAUGUUUCCAGCAGAGACGUGUCUGACCAUUUGGUAAUCGCCCCUCAGCAUUGCAAGGAGCCUGAAAACUCGCCUAUUUUAUAGCUGCCUCUACAUAGACUUUUAAUCACGGUGCUGAUGGUGUGAUUGGAUUUUCCACUUUUCAGCUUGCUUCCAGGAGAUCAAAAUCAUCUUCCUGUGGACUGUCCUCAGUAUUUACGAAAGGGGUAAAGAGAGAAUGUGGCAAGGCCAGCUUCCCCACUGUGGUCUUUCCCUGUGCUCAGAAGCACAACUACAGACUCCAGGGAGCAUGUACUGUGGAAUUACACCUAUAAUAAGCCAUUUGCAUGCUAUUCAGGAGCACAAAUGGCCACUGAUGCUGGCAGUUGCCUCAUUGUCACCUAGAAGAUCACAGAUAGGAUUUUGAAGCCUCACAGCUCUGGCAGUGGCUAGGCUGGAGAGCUCCAGAAAAAGUGGUUAAGGGGGUCUUCUUGGGUUUCUGUGAGCAGGGUCAGUGUUGUGACGACUGAGGAGGACUUGAGCUAAAGGCAAAUAGGGCCAAAGACUGGGCUUCCCAGGUGAGGCUAGUGGUAAAGAACCUGCUUGCCAAUACAGGAGAUGUAAGAGGCCAGAUUGGAUCCCUAAGUGGGGAAGAUCCCCUGGAGAAGGAAGUAGCAACCCACUCCAGUAUUCUUGCCUGGAGAAUCCCAGGGUCCUGGUCAGGGGAGCCUGAUAGGCUACAGUUCAUAGGGUUACAGAGAGUCACCCAGGGCUAAAGUCUUAAUUUUGUCCUGGGUUUGUUAAGUGAAUUGAAGAGAGAAAUUCCCCAACUCUCUUCCACUCUGUGACUUUUCUUAAGAAAGAGGAAGGAAGAAAAGAGACGGAAUGGGAGGUGGAGUGAAAAGAAAGAUUAAUUAUGUGAAACAGUUAAUGUUUAAUUAGAUUAUCCUGCCUUUUCCCUCUUAAGAAGUGCAUAACUUUAAGCUUUAGAAAGUAGAAGAUAUAUAAAUAUAUUAUUUGGUCUUUGCUUUGAGCUCUUUCUGUCUCUUGUACAUGUGUGAGCGUUAAACAUGUAUUUGGUUGGCAGGCUAGAAAAUUAACGGGCUAAAUCAAAUUAUGUGGACUGGUUUUGACCUUUUGAAUGUUAGGUUGUCAACACUUUCUUCUCUGGGGUACAAGCCUCAACUGAACAUUUAGGAUGCAUUCAUUUUGAAAAGGAAAAAAAUUACUUUCAGACCCCAUACAAGAUUCUUUUAUCAUUUAAAAAAGAUAUGAUGAUUC